RNAcentral lists this ribosomal RNA (617 nucleotides) under uncultured bacterium. RNAcentral's name for it is "bacterial SSU rRNA". It matches the Rfam family "Bacterial small subunit ribosomal RNA", at positions 103 to 707 of the family's 1533-position model. The record is from RNAcentral.
CGGGUGAGUAACACGUGGGUAACCUGCCCCGAUGACCGGGACAACCCGAGGAAACUCGGGCUAAUACCGGAUGUGGAACCUUCACAUCAGUGAUGUUUCUAAAGGUAGCUUCGGCUUCCGCAUUGGGAGGGGCCCGCGGCCCAUUAGCUUGUUGGUGGGGUAACGGCCUACCAAGGCUGCGAUGGGUAGCUGGCCUGAGAGGACGAUCAGCCACACUGGGACUGAGACACGGCCCAGACUCCUACGGGAGGCAGCAGUGGGGAAUCUUGCGCAAUGCGCGAAAGCGUGACGCAGCAACGCCGCGUGGGGGAAGAAGGCCUUCGGGUUGUAAACCCCUUUCAGGAGGGACGAAGGUCACACGGUUAACAGCCGGCGUGACUGACGGUACCUCCAGAAGAAGCCCCGGCUAACUACGUGCCAGCAGCCGCGGUAAUACGUAGGGGGCAAGCGUUGUCCGGAAUUAUUGGGCGUAAAGAGCGCGUAGGCGGUCCGAUAAGUCGGCUGUGAAAGUCAGGGGCUCAACCCUUGAAAGCCGGCCGAUACUGUCGGACUAGAGUCCGGAAGAGGCGAGUGGAAUUCCCGGUGUAGCGGUGAAAUGCGCAGAUAUCGGGAGGAAC